AUACGGAGGAUCCGAGCGUUAUCCGGGAUUUAUGGGUUUAAAGGGUGCGCAGGCGGGAUGUUAAGUCGGCGGUGAAAUUUUGCAGCUCAACUGUAAAAGGUGCCUUCGAUACUGGCUUCCUUGAGUGUAGAUGAAGUAGGCGGAAUUUGUGGUGUAGCGGUGAAAUGCUUAGAUAUCACGAGGGACUCCGAUUGCGCAGGCAGCUUACUAAACUACAACUGACGCUCAUGCACGAAGGCGUGGGGAUC
This 248-nucleotide ribosomal RNA is filed under the name uncultured bacterium. RNAcentral describes it as "partial 16S ribosomal RNA". It matches the Rfam family "Bacterial small subunit ribosomal RNA", at positions 523 to 769 of the family's 1533-position model. The record is from RNAcentral.